This is a long non-coding RNA of Neodiprion fabricii, 654 nucleotides long. RefSeq lists it as uncharacterized. The transcript is spliced from 4 exons. Lineage: Eukaryota; Metazoa; Arthropoda; Insecta; Hymenoptera; Diprionidae. The record is from RefSeq and is a predicted model, not a curated record.
AGUAUCACAACUAGUAUUACAUAUAGAUAUUCAAGACAAGGACUAAUCUAGUCGGAAGAGACGUGCCGAAUACAAUCAUACUCGAACUUCGCUUACAGAUUCACAGAUCGAUGUUUUGCAAUGGUCAAUCACUACUUCGCAAUUAUCACCUUGAGCAUGGAAUUUGGGAAUAUUGUCAUAAUUACAAUCGAUCACAGUAUACCUUCAGAAGAGGCUUUUAUUAUAUUCGAAAUUGAAACAACUUACUUGUCGAUUCAUCGAGUGAAAAAAAAACCUGUUUCAGGUAAUACAAAACCGUAGCCUUCAGCACAUACCACAACGCACCGAAUCCCUUCCUGCAGAACGGAGCAAUCGCUGUGCCCAUUUGUUGGAGAUGGAACGUUUUCACAUGCAUCUAAAUUGUAAUUUGCGUAAAAAUGGUGUGUGACUUUUACUAAUCUCCAGAGGAUGUCCAGAGUUGUCAUAAAAUACAGGCUCGUCCCAAGUAAUAUUUAUUGCCAUCGACUUGUUCUCAAGUAGAAAAAUAGGAGGAUCAACGCAGUUUUCAACAGUGGGUGGUUCCUUGUCUGUAAAAUAUCUGAUUACGCAUUUGAACAGAAAACAAAAUGCAUUAUUGGUUAAUGUUAGAACAAUAUACCAGAUUUUUACCUAUAA